This 936-nucleotide long non-coding RNA is filed under the name Solanum tuberosum (potato). Its description in RNAcentral is "long non-coding RNA (STUB_LNC011783)". Lineage: Eukaryota; Viridiplantae; Streptophyta; Magnoliopsida; Solanales; Solanaceae. The record is from RNAcentral.
UUAUAAAUAAAGCCAGCGGCAAUUCCACCCUUCCCUAUUCGUCCCUCUUCUUUAUUCGGCCUCCGUGUUCACCGCAAAUUUCGUCCUUAUUCCGCCUCUGUGUUCACCGGUUUUCAAAUUCGUCUUCCGCUAUGUCUGUGAUGAUUGUGACAAGUUUGGGGGACAUGGUAGUUGAUUUGUUUACGGAUGAAUGUCCUUUGACAUGCAAAAAUUUUCUGAAAUUAUGCAAGAUAAAAUAUUAUCAUAAUUGUCUCUUUCAUACCGUUCGGAAGAAUUUCACAAUGCAGACGGGAGAUCCAACUGGAACAGGAUCCGGAGGGGAUUCGAUAUACAAAUUUUUAUACGGGGCUCAGGCACGUUUUUUUGGUGAUGAGAUUCAUCCAGACUUGAAGCAUUCAAAGAGGGGAACUGUUGCGAUGGCUAGCACUGGUACUGGUGAGAAGAAUCUAAAUGCUUCUCAGUUCUAUAUCACGUUACGUGAUGAUCUCGACUCCCUUGAUGGGGAGCAUACUGUUUUUGGAGAGAUUACAGAAGGGUUUGACACAUUGAAUAGGAUAAAUGAAGCUUAUGUGGAUGACAAGGGCAAGCCUUAUCAAAAUAUACGAAUCAAACACACUUACAUAUUGUAUGAUCCUUUCGAUGAUCCUUCCCAGUUAGACGACUUGAUUCCAGAUGCUUCACCUGAAAGAAAGCCGAAAGAUGAGAUUGAUGAUGAUGUUCGACUAGAGGAUGAUUGGAUGCCAAAGGAUGAGGAAUUAGGUGUUCGUGAAGAGAGGGAAGCACACUCCCGAGCAGUAAUACUUGAAAGUGUAGGAGACAUUCCUUAUGCUGAGAUGAAACCCCCUGACAAUGUGCUCUUUGUUUGUAAAUUAAAUCCGUCAACUAAAGAGGAAGCACUAUAUAUAAUCUUCUCACGCUUUGGAACCGUGACAUCUG